CUGCUGUAUUCAUUGUUAUUAUACAGGAGUCCUGUUGAUGUGAUGGACUGAUUUUAUGCUAUCAGAAAACCAGUUGCUGAGGUUAUAAAAAAAGCAAGAUGAAAUCCCUAUCCUGAAGUGAACACCUUGACUUUGGUAGGCAUAUAAAUGGUUUAAAGUUAUGGCAUGCCAGCAGCACCUCCACAGUUGUUUAAGCGAGUGUCUGUUCUCUGUACAGAUGCAGAAUCCAAGCUUGCAAAAAAUGACCUUCUAAAAAAUGAUUCAGGUCAGUGUCUUCUGCUUAUUGGGUCAACAAAUGUUAAGUGUUGUAACAGUGUCAAGCAGAAGCCAAAAAUAGAGCUCCAAAGAAGUAACAAGGUGAUAUUUUUAAAAGGUAAUUGCCAGUGAUUUUGCUUAAGCCACAAAGAUGCAAUACACAUUUGACCCAGUUCUUAGAUUGGGAACUUUCUUUUCCCUCAACAUAUAAUAAAAUAUACUAAAAUAAUUAAAAUUUUCAUGAAUCAUCAUUUUCCUUUCAACAAAAUACUUAUUUGAGC
Long non-coding RNA from Callithrix jacchus (white-tufted-ear marmoset), 536 nucleotides. Lineage: Eukaryota; Metazoa; Chordata; Mammalia; Primates; Cebidae. The record is from Ensembl.